UGGCGGACGGGUGAGUAAUGUCUGGGAAACUGCCUGAUGGAGGGGGAUAACUACUGGAAACGGUAGCUAAUACCGCAUAACGUCGCAAGACCAAAGAGGGGGACCUUCGGGCCUCUUGCCAUCGGAUGUGCCCAGAUGGGAUUAGCUAGUAGGUGGGGUAACGGCUCACCUAGGCGACGAUCCCUAGCUGGUCUGAGAGGAUGACCAGCCACACUGGAACUGAGACACGGUCCAGACUCCUACGGGAGGCAGCAGUGGGGAAUAUUGCACAAUGGGCGCAAGCCUGAUGCAGCCAUGCCGCGUGUAUGAAGAAGGCCUUCGGGUUGUAAAGUACUUUCAGCGGGGAGGAAGGCGACAGGGUUAAUAACCCUGUCGAUUGACGUUACCCGCAGAAGAAGCACCGGCUAACUCCGUGCCAGCAGGCCCGGCGGUUAAUUACCGGAGGGGUGGCAAAGCCGUUAAUCCGAAGUACCUGGGCGUAAAGCGCACGCAGGCGGUCUGUCAAGUCGGAUGUGAAAUCCCCGGGCUCAACCUGGGAACUGCAUUCGAAACUGGCAGGCUAGAGUCUUGUAGAGGGGGGUAGAAUUCCAGGUGUAGCGGUGAAAUGCGUAGAGAUCUGGAGGAAUACCGGUGGCGAAGGCGGCCCCCUGGACAAAGACUGACGCUCAGGUGCGAAAGCGUGGGGGAGCAAACAGGAUUAGAUACCCUGGUAGUCCACGCCGUAAACGAUGUCGACUUGGAGGUUGUGCCCUUGAGGCGUGGCUUCCGGGAGCUAACGCGUUAAGUCGACCGCCUGGGGAGUACGGCCGCAAGGUUAAAACUCAAAUGAAUUGACGGGGGCCCGCACAAGCCGGUGGAAGCAUGGUGAUUUAAUUCGAUGCAACGGCCGAAGAAAGCCUUAACCCUACUCUUGACAUCCAGAGAACUUAGCAGAGAUGCUUUGGUGCCUUCGGGAACUCUGAGACAGGUGCUGCAUGGCUGUCGUCAGCUCGUGUUGUGAAAUGUUGGGUUAAGUCCCGCAACGAGCGCAACCCUUAUCCUUUGUUGCCAGCGGUUAGGCCGGGAACUCAAAGGAGACUGCCAGUGAUAAACUGGAGGAAGGUGGGGAUGACGUCAAGUCAUCAUGGCCCUUACGAGUAGGGCUACACACGUGCUACAAUGGCGCAUACAAAGAGAAGCGACCUCGCGAGAGCAAGCGGACCUCAUAAAGUGCGUCGUAGUCCGGAUUGGAGUCUGCAACUCGACUCCAUGAAGUCGGAAUCGCUA
This 1266-nucleotide ribosomal RNA is filed under the name Enterobacter cloacae. RNAcentral's name for it is "bacterial SSU rRNA". It matches the Rfam family "Bacterial small subunit ribosomal RNA", at positions 96 to 1337 of the family's 1533-position model. The record is from RNAcentral. Lineage: Bacteria; Pseudomonadati; Pseudomonadota; Gammaproteobacteria; Enterobacterales; Enterobacteriaceae.